Molecule: ribosomal RNA, 505 nt
Filed under: uncultured bacterium
Lineage: Bacteria
Description: partial 16S ribosomal RNA
Rfam family: Bacterial small subunit ribosomal RNA
Source: RNAcentral
GACGAACGCUGGCGGCGUGCCUAAUACAUGCAAGUCGAACGCACAGUUUAUACCGUAGCUUGCUACACCAUAGACUGUGAGUUGCGAACGGGUGAGUAACGCGUAGGUAACCUGCCUGGUAGCGUGGGAUAACUAUUGGAAACGAUAGCUAAUACCGCAUAAUAUUAAUUAUUGCAUGAUAAUUAAUGGAAAGGUGCAAUUGCACCACUACCAGAUGGACCUGCGUUGUAUUAGCUAGUAGGUGAGGUAACGGCUCACCUAGGCGACGAUACAUAGCCGACCUGCGAGGGUGAUCGGCCACACUGGGACUGAGACACGGCCCAGAGUCCUACGGGAGGCAGCAGUAGGGAAACUUCGGCAAUGGAUGAAAGUCUGACCGAGCAACGCCGAGUGAGGGAAGAAGGUUUUCGGAUCGUAAAGCUCUGUUGUAAGAGAAGAACGGGUGUGAGAGUGGAAAGUUCACACUGUGACGGUAACUGACCAGAAAGGGACGGCUAACUACGUG